GCCAAUCACAUCAACCUAUAGUUGUUCGUGAAUAUGAGGAGGAAGAAGAAAGUCUACCGACAAUGGAAGACCUUGCCAUUGAUAGUACUCCCACUAACACCGCCGCCACUACUUCUUCAGCGACUGCCACUUCAUCAAUGCAGUCAACUAACUUCACUUAGAUCUUAAUGAUGUCCUGACGGAAAAAGAGAGGAGUCGAAGCGAAGUCACCCAACAACUUUCAAGUCAUUAUAUGGACUUUGGAUUUAUAAGCAUUUUUUAGUAUUGAGACAUUACUAUGGACUUUAUGGACUUUAGAUUUUCAUUUUAUGGACUUUAUAGAUUUUAUGGACUUUAUGGACUUUAGAUAUGGAUAUUGGAUAUGGAUGUAUUUUGAAAUAUUUUAGUUUUCACUUUUAUCAUGAUUCAUGAACAUGAAUAUGAACUUUGAUUUGAUUUGAUGAACAGGUUGUUUGUUUGUUGGUUGGAUUGAUUAAUGCAUAUUUUCUUCAAUAGUAUAUAAACAAAUUGUUAUAUUUAUAUAUGCUUAAUUUAAUAAAUAAAAAA
Cannabis sativa is the source of this 546-nucleotide long non-coding RNA. RefSeq lists it as uncharacterized. The record is from RefSeq and is a predicted model, not a curated record. The transcript has 3 exons. Lineage: Eukaryota; Viridiplantae; Streptophyta; Magnoliopsida; Rosales; Cannabaceae.